RNAcentral lists this ribosomal RNA (497 nucleotides) under uncultured bacterium. RNAcentral's name for it is "partial 16S ribosomal RNA". It matches the Rfam family "Bacterial small subunit ribosomal RNA", at positions 28 to 507 of the family's 1533-position model. The record is from RNAcentral.
GAUGAACGCUGGCGGCGUGCCUAAUACAUGCAAGUCGAGCGAACGGACGAGAAGCUUGCUUCUCUGAUGUUAGCGGCGGACGGGUGAGUAACACGUGGAUAACCUACCUAUAAGACUGGGAUAACUUCGGGAAACCGGAGCUAAUACCGGAUAAUAUUUUGAACCGCAUGGUUCAAAAGUGAAAGACUGUCUUGCUGUCACUUAUAGAUGGAUCCGCGCUGCAUUAGCUAGUUGGUAAGGUAACGGCUUACCAAGGCAACGAUGCAUAGCCGACCUGAGAGGGUGAUCGGCCACACUGGAACUGAGACACGGUCCAGACUCCUACGGGAGGCAGCAGUAGGGAAUCUUCCGCAAUGGGCGAAAGCCUGACGGAGCAACGCCGCGUGAGUGAUGAAGGUCUUCGGAUCGUAAAACUCUGUUAGUAGGGAAGAACAUAUGUGUAAGUAACUGUGCACAUCUUGACGGGACCUAAUCAGAAAGCCACGGCUAACUACGUG